This 254-nucleotide ribosomal RNA is filed under the name uncultured bacterium. RNAcentral's name for it is "partial 16S ribosomal RNA". It matches the Rfam family "Bacterial small subunit ribosomal RNA", at positions 524 to 776 of the family's 1533-position model. The record is from RNAcentral.
UACGGGGGGAGCAAGCGUUGUCCGGAAUUAUUGGGCGUAAAGAGCUCGUAGGCGGUGUGUCGCGUCGGUCGUGAAAACUUUCAGCUUAACUGGGAGCUUGCGGUCGAUACGGGCAUCACUUGAGUUCGGCAGGGGAGACUGGAAUUCCUGGUGUAGCGGUGAAAUGCGCAGAUAUCAGGAGGAACACCGGUGGCGAAGGCGGGUCUCUGGGCCGAUACUGACGCUGAGGAGCGAAAGCGUGGGGAGCGAACAGG